RNAcentral lists this ribosomal RNA (571 nucleotides) under Rhinophora sp. n. AT-2015. Its description in RNAcentral is "eukaryotic LSU rRNA". The record is from RNAcentral. Lineage: Eukaryota; Metazoa; Arthropoda; Insecta; Diptera; Rhinophoridae.
UUAAGCCCGAUGAACCUGAAUAUCCGUUAUAGGAAAUUCAUCAUUAUGAUUUUAAUAUUUAUAAUAUUAUAAUAAUGGUGUGCAUUUUUUCUAUAAAAGGACAUUGUAAUCUAUUAACAAAAAUUAAAUUUAUCAUAAGAUCAUUUGCGCAAGUUUAUUCAAAUUAUUUUGUUUGCAAUUUAAUAUCGAGUAAAUGCAAUAGAUUUGAUAAAGUGUUGAUAGAUUCAUAAUAUAUAGUGCUUAAAUAUUUUUUAAAUAUUUUAUAAUAGCAUAUAAAUCAUUGAUUUGUUUUGUUUAUUAUAUGCACUUAUAUGAUUAACAAUGCGAAAGAUUCAGGAUACCUUCGGGACCCGUCUUGAAACACGGACCAAGGAGUCUAACAUAUUUGCAAGUUAUUGGGAUACAAAAACCUAAUAGCGAAAUUAACAUAACUUUUUAUUAAUGGGAUUAGUUUUUAGCCUUAUUUUAUAAGUCUAUUAAUUCAAUCCCGGGGCGUUCUAUACAGUUAUGUAUAAUAGUAUUUAUAUUAUUUAUACCUCUAACUAGAGCGUACCUUGAGCAUAUAUGCUGU